UACAGGGGGUGCAAACGUUGUUCGGAAUUACUGGGCGUAAAGCGCGUGUAGGCGGCUCGGAAAGUCGGAUGUGAAAGCCCUGGGCUUAACCUAGGAAGUGCAUUCGAAACUCCCGAGCUUGAGUUCUGGAGAGGAAGGCGGAAUUCUCGGUGUAGAGGUGAAAUUCGUAGAUAUCGAGAGGAACACCGGUGGCAAAGGCGGCCUUCUGGACAGUGACUGACGCUGAGACGCGAGAGCGUGGGGAGCAAACAGG
This 253-nucleotide ribosomal RNA is filed under the name uncultured bacterium. RNAcentral's name for it is "partial 16S ribosomal RNA". It matches the Rfam family "Bacterial small subunit ribosomal RNA", at positions 524 to 776 of the family's 1533-position model. The record is from RNAcentral.